GAUGAACGCUGACAGAAGGCUUAACACAUGCAAGUCGACUUGAACUUCGGGGUGGUUGGCGGACGGGUGAGUAACGCGUAGAGAACUUGCCUCACAGUGAGGGGCAACAUUUGGAAACGUAUGCUAAUACCUGAGAUUAUGAUUUUAGGGCAUCCUAGAAUUAUGAAAGCUAUAUGCGCUGUGAGAGAGCUUUGCGUCCCAUUAGCUAGUUGGAGAGGUAACGGCUCACCAAGGCGAUGAUGGGUAGCCGGCCUGAGAGGGUGAACGGCCACAAGGGGACUGAGACACGGCCCUUACUCCUACGGGAGGCAGCAGUGGGGAAUAUUGGACAAUGGACCAAGAGUCUGAUCCAGCAAUUCUGUGUGCACGAUGAAGUUUUUCGGAAUGUAAAGUGCUUUCAGUUGGGAAGAAAAAAAUGACGGUACCAACAGAAGAAGUGACGGCUAAAUACGUG
Molecule: ribosomal RNA, 454 nt
Filed under: uncultured bacterium
Lineage: Bacteria
Description: partial 16S ribosomal RNA
Rfam family: Bacterial small subunit ribosomal RNA
Source: RNAcentral